UUUAUCUGGUAUACAAGUUUAUGUAGUAUAGUUGCUUAAUGAUGACCACCACCACCGGGAAGCUUUUCCUUGAUCUUUUCCAUCAUCCCCUUCUUCUCGUGGCGCUCACCACCGUAGCCUCCAGCAUCAUAACCAGUGGUAGUUCCCAUUCCCAUCCCUUGAGAUUGACCAGAAGACUGAUCAUGAUGGCCUGGCAACUUUUCCUUAAUCUUAUCAGUUAUUCCCUUCUUCUUCCUCCUCCCACCUUGCCCAUCAUCCUCCUGUCAUUAUGUCGGACACUUGUUAAUACAAGACUAGGCCACAUUAAUUAAGACACGUACGCAUGUUAAUAUUAUAUAUUUGGUGUAACGUACCGAGCUAGAGCUAGAUCCGGAUCCAGAGCGGUGAAGCAUUCCUCCCAAGCCCCUCCCACCACCACUUUCCUCAUGGAGUUGCUGUUGGCCGUGGUGCCUUCCACCUGCGCCUGCUCCCAAGGCUCCAGUUCCUGUCCCGUAUCCUUCGCCACCUGUCCCGUAAGUCCCUGUUAAGUAUGAAGACGCGAUCUACUGAAUAUACUCUUUAUUAUAAACGUGAUACGAGCUACAACAAGGGAGACACUCUCAUAACGAGUACUCCUCUACUCUCAUGUCGAGUAGCUACUUAGCUCAUACGCUAAAGUACAAUAUUGUAAUUCUCGAUAACCCCAAAUGACUUAGUACGUUCCUAUUUAUAUCAAUCCCGUGUAACGGCUUUUCCCUCCUUCAAUCUGUAACAACCUCCACGUCAUCAUCCCCUGCUUGACUCUUCUUCUCUUCUCCUUUCUUCUUCCAUCUCCUCCUCUCAUAUGUAUAUUUGUACUUAUCAAUCAUACUAUCAACCUUAAACCAGGAGUCACCGCCAUAUCUGUACGACCCUACCGUUAUCCGCAUGCCACGAAGGUUGUGAUGGAGAAGAUGGUAACAGAGAUGCUGGAAGCGGGUAUUAUCAGAGUCAGUAUUAGUCCAUUUUCAAGCCCAGUGUUACUGGUUAAGAAAAAGGAUGGGUCUUGGCGGUUUUGCAUUGAUUACAGAGCAUUGAAUCAGGUGACAAUUCCGGAUAGAUUUCCUAUUCCGGUUAUUGAUCAACUACUAGAUGAGUUACAUGGAGCAUCGGUCUUCUCUAAAUUGGAUCUUCGCGCGGGUUAUCAUCAAAUCCGGAUGAAAGAAGAAGACAUAGCGAAGACAGCAUUUAGAACGGUUGAAGGUCAUUAUGAGUUCCUGGUAAUGCCCUUUGGACUUACAAAUGCACCUGCGACAUUUCAGGCUCUCAUGAACUCAAUUUUUAAGAAGUUUCUACGCAAGUUCAUCCUUGUUUUCUUUGAUGACGUGCUGGUCUAUAGCAGAAGUAUGGAGGAGCACGUAGAACAUUUGAAAGUGGUGUUGCAAAUAUUGGCUGAACAGAGGUUGCUUGCGAACAAGAAGAAAUGUUCGUUUGGAGUACAGCAGGUGGAUUAUUUGGGGCACAUCAUAUCGAAAGAAGGGGUCGCCACUGAUUCAGCGAAAACAAGCACAAUGAGGGAGUGGCCGACACCACGAUCUGUCAAACAACUGCGGGGGUUUCUUGGUCUCACUGGAUAUUAUAGAAACUAUGUGAAGAGUUAUGGCACUAUUGCUCGACCUUUGACGGAAUUAUUAAAGAAGGAUGGGUUUGAGUGGUCUACAACAGCACAAGGGGCUUUUGACAGGCUGAAACAUGCGAUGAUCACUACACCGGUGCUAGCGUUACCAGACUUCGACAAAAAAUUUGUGGUUGAAACAGAUGCAUCAGGGUUUGGCGUGGGCGCAGUUUUAAUGCAGGAUCGUCGACCAAUAGCGUACUUCAGUCAUGGUUUUACAGCUCGCGAACGAUUGAAACCAGCUUACGAGAGAGAACUCAUGGCUGUGGUAUUGGCAGUGUUGAAAUGGAAGCAUUACCUGAUUGGACGUCAUUUUGUGGUUCAUACAGACCAACGAAGUCUUAAGUAUUUGUUGGAGCAGAAGGAGGUCAAUAUGGAAUAUCAGAAAUGGUUAACAAAGUUACUUGGUUUCGACUUUGAGAUAUGUUACAAACCGGGCAGUCAAAACAAAACAGCAGAUGGUCUUUCAAGAAUUGAGAAUUUGGAAACUCAGGAGUUAAGUUCUCUGCUAUUGUCCUUGACAGUUCCGGGCGUGAUUCAGUUACAAGAUUUAUAUGCUGAGAUUGAUGGGGAUGAAGCGUUAAAGCGUUUACAGAUGUUAGUAGCAGAGGGAAAAAUGAUGAACAAACAUUACAAGAUUCUGAAUAACAGAUUGUGGUAUAAGAAGCGGCUCGUCAUUCCAAAGCAAUCACGGUUUAUUCCUUUGAUCAUUUCGGAAUGUCAUGACAGCCAGCUUGGGGGUCAUUCUGGAGUAUUGAAAACAGUCAAGAGAGUUCAAUCUAUGUUUCAUUGGGAGGGGUUGUUUAAACGGGUUCAACAGUAUGUUCAAGAGUGUAGUGUUUGUCAAACACACAAAUAUUCUACUCUUUCUCCUGCGGGUCUUCUGCAGCCACUUCCGAUCCCUCAGCAGAUUUGGGAGGAUAUUUCAAUGGAUUUUGUGGAAGGAUUGCCAACUUCUCAAGGUCAUAAUGUCAUCAUGGUAGUAGUGGACAGAUUGAGUAAGUAUGGACAUUUUGUGGGUCUCAAGCAUCCUUUUACAGCGGCAGACGUGGCUUCUAAAUUCAUGUUGGAGAUUGUCAAGCAUCACGGCUUUCCUAAGACAAUAGUCUCAGAUCGAGACCGGAUUUUUCUUAGUACCUUUUGGAAAGACUUGUUUCGAUUAUCGGGUACAAAGUUGAAGUAUAGUACGGCAUUUCAUCCGCAGACGGACGGUCAGACUGAGGUUCUAAACCGUUGUGUGGAGACAUACCUUCGUUGCUUCGCUUCUGGUCAUCCAAAGACUUGGUUUAAGUAUCUGUCAUGGACAGAACUCUGGUAUAAUACUUCGUUCCAUACAUCGCUUAAGGCUACUCCAUUUCAGGUAGUUUAUGGUAGGGAACCACCACCUCUCAUUCGUUUCGAAGAAGGGUCGACAUCUAAUUUUGAUUUGGAGGUGGCUCUUAAAGAAAGAGAUGCGAUGUUAGUACAAGUAAAGCAUCAUCUGGUUCGGGCUCAACAGUUGAUGAAAGUGCAGGCUGAUAAGCACCGCCGUGAUGUUGUUUUUGCAGUCGGUGAUUUGGUUUAUCUAAAGCUUAAACCUUUCCGUCAGCACACCGUGGUUCGACGAUAUUGUCAGAAGUUGGCAGCAAAGUUCUUUGGUCCGUAUCAGAUUUUGGAAAGGAUUGGCAAGGUUGCGUAUCGUCUUAAGCUGCCAGCAGAAUCGAAGAUCCAUCCGGUAUUUCACAUUUCGCAAUUGAAAGCUGCUUUGGGUCAUGAUCAGGUGUUGCAGCAGCUUCCACCUUCGUAUACGGAUCUGGAAAAUCUUUUGUGGGAACCUGAAGAGAUAUUAGCGUCACGUUGUAACGAGGGGAAUGAGGUGGAGUUGUUAGUGCGUUGGAAAAACCGUGAGGAGCACGAUAAUUCUUGGAUGAUGUUACAGGAGUUUCAAGCAUCUUUUCCAACUUACAAGCUUGAGGGCAAGCUUGCUCUCAAUGGGGGGAGUAUUGAUAAGUACAAAUAUACAUAUGAGAGGAGGAGAUGGAAGAAGAAAGGAGAAGAGAAGAAGAGUCAAGCAGGGGAUGAUGACGUGGAGGCUGUUACAGAUUGAAGGAGGGAAAAGCCGUUACACGGGAUUGAUAUAAAUAGGAACGUACUAAGUCAUUUGGGGUUAUCGAGAAUUACAAUAUUGUACUUUAGCGUAUGAGCUAAGUAGCUACUCGACAUGAGAGUAGAGGAGUACUCGUUAUGAGAGUGUCUCCCUUGUUGUAGCUCGUAUCACGUUUAUAAUAAAGAGUAUAUUCAGUAGAUCGCGUCUUCAUACUUAACAGGGACUUACGGGACAGGUGGCGAAGGAUACGGGACAGGAACUGGAGCCUUGGGAGCAGGCGCAGGUGGAAGGCACCACGGCCAACAGCAACUCCAUGAGGAAAGUGGUGGUGGGAGGGGCUUGGGAGGAAUGCUUCACCGCUCUGGAUCCGGAUCUAGCUCUAGCUCGGUACGUUACACCAAAUAUAUAAUAUUAACAUGCGUACGUGUCUUAAUUAAUGUGGCCUAGUCUUG
RNAcentral lists this long non-coding RNA (4171 nucleotides) under Brassica napus (rape). Its description in RNAcentral is "long non-coding RNA (BNAP_LNC001931)". Lineage: Eukaryota; Viridiplantae; Streptophyta; Magnoliopsida; Brassicales; Brassicaceae. The record is from RNAcentral.